CAGUAGCCGCGGGAAUACAGAGGGUGCGAGCGUUAAUCGGAUUUACUGGGCGUAAAGCGUGCGUAGGCGGCUUUUUAAGUCGGAUGUGAAAUCCCUGAGCUUAACUUAGGAAUUGCAUUCGAUACUGGGAAGCUAGAGUAUGGGAGAGGAUGGUAGAAUUCCAGGUGUAGCGGUGAAAUGCGUAGAGAUCUGGAGGAAUACCGAUGGCGAAGGCAGCCAUCUGGCCUAAUACUGACGCUGAGGUACGAAAGCAUGGGGAGCAAACAGGAUUAGAUACCCCUGUAGUCCCUGUCCUUAUACC
RNAcentral lists this ribosomal RNA (301 nucleotides) under uncultured bacterium. RNAcentral describes it as "partial 16S ribosomal RNA". It matches the Rfam family "Bacterial small subunit ribosomal RNA", at positions 509 to 808 of the family's 1533-position model. The record is from RNAcentral.